Molecule: ribosomal RNA, 397 nt
Filed under: Brasilodontus riodocensis
Lineage: Eukaryota; Metazoa; Arthropoda; Insecta; Orthoptera; Gryllidae
Description: partial 12S ribosomal RNA
Source: RNAcentral
UAUUAUUGAAUAUGUAAAGUUUUAUUCCUGAGUAGUAGUAGUUAAGAUCUUAAAACUCAAAGAAUUUGGCGGUAUUUUAGUCUCUUCAGAGGAAUCUGUCCUUUUAUUUGAUAAUACACGAUUUAUUAUACUUGAUUUUGUUAUCAGUUUGUAUACCGCCGUUAUAAGAUUAUUUUGGAAGAGAAUAAAAUUUCUUAAAAUUUAAUUUGAUAGUAUUUCAGGUCAAGGUGCAGCUUAUAAUUAAGUGGAGAUGGAUUACAAUAAUUUUAUUUAGAUGAAUUAAUAAUUGAAAUGUUAAUAUGAAAGUGGAUUUGAUUGUAAAAUGUUUUAAAGUGAAGUUUUGAUUAUGGCUCUAAAAUGUGUACAUAUCGCCCGUCGCUCUCGUUAUUAAAAUGAG